GAAAAAUAUUCACUUAAAAUUCUAUCUGUAUUAGUUAGGGUAUGAACCAAUCUUUUGUAACAAAAGAUCCCUAAAUACAGUAGCUCAAAUAAGAUAUCUGCUCAGAGUACUGCCCUCAUCUGCAUGGUUGAAGCUGGCUCACUGCCACAAUGGUCAAGGUCCAGCCCAAGGAUAAUGGAACGAAAUAGAGGGAUCUGCACACCCAAUUUGUUUAAAGGGAUACACCAGAAGAGCAUGAUUCUCAACCAGAAUGGAAUGAAGGUUAUGAGGCCUGAGAGGGGACUUAAGUUGACAAAAGAUUUAGAAACACCAAUUCAAGUCCUACCCUUUCAUAGCAUAAAUAAAGAACUUAAGAUCCAAGAGACCUAUAAGCUGCUUAAGGAAAGGACUUGAGUUUUGUCUACCAAAAUGUGUUGUAUAGUAAACAUUCAAAAUAAAAAUUUG
This 444-nucleotide long non-coding RNA is filed under the name Equus caballus (horse). RNAcentral describes it as "lncRNA (ENSECAG00000057526.1)". Lineage: Eukaryota; Metazoa; Chordata; Mammalia; Perissodactyla; Equidae. The record is from RNAcentral.